This 35-nucleotide ribosomal RNA is filed under the name uncultured Cenococcum. RNAcentral describes it as "partial 18S ribosomal RNA". Lineage: Eukaryota; Fungi; Ascomycota; Dothideomycetes; Gloniales; Gloniaceae. The record is from RNAcentral.
AUAGGUUCGUUAGGUGACCUGCGGAAGGAUCAUUA